Molecule: long non-coding RNA, 313 nt
Organism: Schistocerca americana (American grasshopper)
Lineage: Eukaryota; Metazoa; Arthropoda; Insecta; Orthoptera; Acrididae
Exons: 3
Source: RefSeq, a predicted model, not a curated record
GCUGCGUCCCCCUUCCUUGAACAUUAAAUUCCGUCUCAACACAAACAUGUUUGAGUUUUUUAUAUAGGAAAGCAACUCCUGUAAUUUAAAAAAAUGGCAUUUCGUCUCAAGUGCUCAGGAAAUACAAAAAUGUUCGUGUGUGGUAUUCCUACUUGGAACUAGCGCAAGGCUGAUACAGACACAAUUUUUCCGUUGGAGUACUUCUCUUCGUGAGAGAGCGAAGUGAGACCCAGAGCUGAAGUGAUGGCAGCUAAUCACAAGGUAAAAACUUUAAGAACUCUCUAAAUCCAUGUCAUCACAAGCAAGAUCAAGG